GAUGAACGCUGGCGGCGUGCCUAAUACAUGCAAGUCGAGCGAAUGGAUUAAGAGCUUGCUCUUAUGAAGUUAGCGGCGGACGGGUGAGUAACACGUGGGUAACCUGCCCAUAAGACUGGGAUAACUCCGGGAAACCGGGGCUAAUACCGGAUAACCUUUUGAACCGCAUGGUUCGAAAUUGAAAGGCGGCUUCGGCUGUCACUUAUGGAUGGACCCGCGUCGCAUUAGCUAGUUGGUGAGGUAACGGCUCACCAAGGCAACGAUGCGUAGCCGACCUGAGAGGGUGAUCGGCCACACUGGGACUGAGACACGGCCCAGACUCCUACGGGAGGCAGCAGUAGGGAAUCUUCCGCAAUGGACGAAAGUCUGACGGAGCAACGCCGCGUGAGUGAUGAAGGCUUUCGGGUCGUAAAACUCUGUUGUUAGGGAAGAACAAGUGCUAGUUGAAUAAGCUGGCACCUUGACGGUACCUAACCAGAAAGCCACGGCUAACUACGUGCCAGCCGCCGCAGUAA
RNAcentral lists this ribosomal RNA (515 nucleotides) under uncultured bacterium. RNAcentral's name for it is "partial 16S ribosomal RNA". It matches the Rfam family "Bacterial small subunit ribosomal RNA", at positions 28 to 523 of the family's 1533-position model. The record is from RNAcentral.